AGCGUACACGGUGGAUGCCCUGGCAGUCAGAGGCGAUGAAGGACGUGCUAAUCUGCGAUAAGCGUCGGUAAGGUGAUAUGAACCGUUAUAACCGGCGAUUUCCGAAUGGGGAAACCCAGUGUGUUUCGACACACUAUCAUUAACUGAAUCCAUAGGUUAAUGAGGCGAACCGGGGGAACUGAAACAUCUAAGUACCCCGAGGAAAAGAAAUCAACCGAGAUUCCCCCAGUAGCGGCGAGCGAACGGGGAGCAGCCCAGAGCCUGAAUCAGUGUGUGUGUUAGUGGAAGCGUCUGGAAAGGCGCGCGAUACAGGGUGACAGCCCCGUACACAAAAAUGCACAUGCUGUGAGCUCGAUGAGUAGGGCGGGACACGUGGUAUCCUGUCUGAAUAUGGGGGGACCAUCCUCCAAGGCUAAAUACUCCUGACUGACCGAUAGUGAACCAGUACCGUGAGGGAAAGGCGAAAAGAACCCCGGCGAGGGGAGUGAAAAAGAACCUGAAACCGUGUACGUACAAGCAGUGGGAGCACGCUUAGGCGUGUGACUGCGUACCUUUUGUAUAAUGGGUCAGCGACUUAUAUUCUGUAGCAAGGUUAACCGAAUAGGGGAGCCGAAGGGAAACCGAGUCUUAACUGGGCGUUAAGUUGCAGGGUAUAGACCCGAAACCCGGUGAUCUAGCCAUGGGCAGGUUGAAGGUUGGGUAACACUAACUGGAGGACCGAACCGACUAAUGUUGAAAAAUUAGCGGAUGACUUGUGGCUGGGGGUGAAAGGCCAAUCAAACCGGGAGAUAGCUGGUUCUCCCCGAAAGCUAUUUAGGUAGCGCCUCGUGAAUUCAUCUCCGGGGGUAGAGCACUGUUUCGGCAAGGGGGUCAUCCCGACUUACCAACCCGAUGCAAACUGCGAAUACCGGAGAAUGUUAUCACGGGAGACACACGGCGGGUGCUAACGUCCGUCGUGAAGAGGGAAACAACCCAGACCGCCAGCUAAGGUCCCAAAGUCAUGGUUAAGUGGGAAACGAUGUGGGAAGGCCCAGACAGCCAGGAUGUUGGCUUAGAAGCAGCCAUCAUUUAAAGAAAGCGUAAUAGCUCACUGGUCGAGUCGGCCUGCGCGGAAGAUGUAACGGGGCUAAACCAUGCACCGAAGCUGCGGCAGCGACGCUUAUGCGUUGUUGGGUAGGGGAGCGUUCUGUAAGCCUGUGAAGGUGUGCUGUGAGGCAUGCUGGAGGUAUCAGAAGUGCGAAUGCUGACAUAAGUAACGAUAAAGCGGGUGAAAAGCCCGCUCGCCGGAAGACCAAGGGUUCCUGUCCAACGUUAAUCGGGGCAGGGUGAGUCGACCCCUAAGGCGAGGCCGAAAGGCGUAGUCGAUGGGAAACAGGUUAAUAUUCCUGUACUUGGUGUUACUGCGAAGGGGGGACGGAGAAGGCUAUGUUGGCCGGGCGACGGUUGUCCCGGUUUAAGCGUGUAGGCUGGUUUUCCAGGCAAAUCCGGAAAAUCAAGGCUGAGGCGUGAUGACGAGGCACUACGGUGCUGAAGCAACAAAUGCCCUGCUUCCAGGAAAAGCCUCUAAGCAUCAGGUAACAUCAAAUCGUACCCCAAACCGACACAGGUGGUCAGGUAGAGAAUACCAAGGCGCUUGAGAGAACUCGGGUGAAGGAACUAGGCAAAAUGGUGCCGUAACUUCGGGAGAAGGCACGCUGAUAUGUAGGUGAAGUCCCUCGCGGAUGGAGCUGAAAUCAGUCGAAGAUACCAGCUGGCUGCAACUGUUUAUUAAAAACACAGCACUGUGCAAACACGAAAGUGGACGUAUACGGUGUGACGCCUGCCCGGUGCCGGAAGGUUAAUUGAUGGGGUUAGCCGCAAGGCGAAGCUCUUGAUCGAAGCCCCGGUAAACGGCGGCCGUAACUAUAACGGUCCUAAGGUAGCGAAAUUCCUUGUCGGGUAAGUUCCGACCUGCACGAAUGGCGUAAUGAUGGCCAGGCUGUCUCCACCCGAGACUCAGUGAAAUUGAACUCGCUGUGAAGAUGCAGUGUACCCGCGGCAAGACGGAAAGACCCCGUGAACCUUUACUAUAGCUUGACACUGAACAUUGAGCCUUGAUGUGUAGGAUAGGUGGGAGGCUUAGAAGUGUGGACGCCAGUCUGCAUGGAGCCGACCUUGAAAUACCACCCUUUAAUGUUUGAUGUUCUAACGUUGACCCGUAAUCCGGGUUGCGGACAGUGUCUGGUGGGUAGUUUGACUGGGGCGGUCUCCUCCUAAAGAGUAACGGAGGAGCACGAAGGUUGGCUAAUCCUGGUCGGACAUCAGGAGGUUAGUGCAAUGGCAUAAGCCAGCUUGACUGCGAGCGUGACGGCGCGAGCAGGUGCGAAAGCAGGUCAUAGUGAUCCGGUGGUUCUGAAUGGAAGGGCCAUCGCUCAACGGAUAAAAGGUACUCCGGGGAUAACAGGCUGAUACCGCCCAAGAGUUCAUAUCGACGGCGGUGUUUGGCACCUCGAUGUCGGCUCAUCACAUCCUGGGGCUGAAGUAGGUCCCAAGGGUAUGGCUGUUCGCCAUUUAAAGUGGUACGCGAGCUGGGUUUAGAACGUCGUGAGACAGUUCGGUCCCUAUCUGCCGUGGGCGCUGGAGAACUGAGGGGGGCUGCUCCUAGUACGAGAGGACCGGAGUGGACGCAUCACUGGUGUUCGGGUUGUCAUGCCAAUGGCACUGCCCGGUAGCUAAAUGCGGAAGAGAUAAGUGCUGAAAGCAUCUAAGCACGAAACUUGCCCCGAGAUGAGUUCUCCCUGACUCCUUGA
This 2789-nucleotide ribosomal RNA is filed under the name Escherichia coli. RNAcentral's name for it is "bacterial LSU rRNA". It matches the Rfam family "Bacterial large subunit ribosomal RNA". The record is from RNAcentral. Lineage: Bacteria; Pseudomonadati; Pseudomonadota; Gammaproteobacteria; Enterobacterales; Enterobacteriaceae.